Molecule: ribosomal RNA, 558 nt
Filed under: uncultured bacterium
Lineage: Bacteria
Description: bacterial SSU rRNA
Rfam family: Bacterial small subunit ribosomal RNA
Source: RNAcentral
ACUCCUACGGGAGGCAGCAGUAGGGAAUCUUCCGCAAUGGACGAAAGUCUGACGGAGCAACGCCGCGUGGGUGACGAAGGUUUUCGGAUCGUAAAACUCUGUUGUGAGGGAAGAACAAGUGCCACGUAACUACUGGCACCUUGACGGUACCUCACCAGAAAGCCACGGCUAACUACGUGCCAGCAGCCGCGGUAAUACGUAGGUGGCAAGCGUUGUCCGGAAUUAUUGGGCGUAAAGCGCGCGCAGGCGGUCCUUUAAGUCUGAUGUGAAAGCCCACGGCUCAACCGUGGAGGGUCAUUGGAAACUGGAGGACUUGAGUGCAGAAGAGGAAAGUGGAAUUCCAUGUGUAGCGGUGAAAUGCGCAGAGAUGUGGAGGAACACCAGUGGCGAAGGCGACUUUCUGGUCUGUAACUGACGCUGAGGCGCGAAAGCGUGGGGAGCAAACAGGAUUAGAUACCCUGGUAGUCCACGCCGUAAACGAUGAGUGCUAAGUGUUAGGGGGUUUCCGCCCCUUAGUGCUGCAGCUAACGCAUUAAGCACUCCGCCUGGGGAGUACGG